RNAcentral lists this transfer RNA (64 nucleotides) under Tagiades tethys. RNAcentral's name for it is "Daimio tethys tRNA-Ala". It matches the Rfam family "tRNA". From Rfam's summary of the family: Transfer RNA (tRNA) molecules are approximately 80 nucleotides in length. Their secondary structure includes four short double-helical elements and three loops (D, anti-codon, and T loops). Lineage: Eukaryota; Metazoa; Arthropoda; Insecta; Lepidoptera; Hesperiidae. The record is from RNAcentral.
AGGAUUAUAGUUUAUAAAAACAUUUGAUUUGCAAUCAAAAAAUAUUGGACAUCAAUUUAUCUUA